UACGGAGGAUCCAAGCGUUAGUCCGGAAUCAGUUGGGUUUAAAGGGUCCGUAGGCGGGCCUUAUAAGUCAGUGGUGAAAGUCCCCAUCGCUCAACGAUGGAACUGCCAUUGAUACUGUAAGGCUUGAAUUAUUGUGAAGUUAACUAGAAUAUGUAGUGUAGCGGUGAAAUGCUUAGAUAUUACAUUGGAAUACCAAAUUGCGAAGGCAGGUUACUAACAAUGGAUUUGACGCUGAUGGACGAAAAGGCGUGGGGAGCGAACAGGAUUAGAUACCCCCGGUAGU
This 283-nucleotide ribosomal RNA is filed under the name uncultured bacterium. Its description in RNAcentral is "partial 16S ribosomal RNA". It matches the Rfam family "Bacterial small subunit ribosomal RNA", at positions 524 to 794 of the family's 1533-position model. The record is from RNAcentral.